This is a long non-coding RNA of Dendrobium catenatum, 1053 nucleotides long. RefSeq lists it as uncharacterized. The transcript has 2 exons. The record is from RefSeq and is a predicted model, not a curated record. Lineage: Eukaryota; Viridiplantae; Streptophyta; Magnoliopsida; Asparagales; Orchidaceae.
UUAUGGAAAAGAAAUGACUUCUUUGCCUUCUUCGACAACUUUCCUUUAUCUUGAAUCCCAAGUCAUGACAGUCCGCCGUUCACAUUUUAAAUUAUAUUAAUUAAGUUCAAUUAGACUAAUUAGAUUAAUUUCUUCGCAUAGGCGUCUAGGGUUUGCUUUACAUCUUGUCUAGUUUUUGCAUGAGUCGCUUCUUCGGCUCCUUCAUUGUUGUUCGACUUCGCUCGUCAACGUUCCCUUCUUGUUGGAUCUGACGUCUUGACAUUUUAAUUGGAAGCAACUACGAGGAGCUUUCUCUCUGUUAAUGAAACUAUCAUUCUCCCUUUCGCGCUCUUCUUCAGCCAAAUCCUAAAUCCGAGAAAUUUCGGGAUUUAUUAAAUCCCGGAUUUACGGCCAAUAAGGGAGACGGAGGAUUUAUCCCUCCGUGAGAUUUAGCGGGCGCUCAAAUCUUGUUCACAGGAUUUGGCAAAAAUCCUGCUAAAAAUGGCAUAAAUCCUGUUAAAUCCUUUAUCCAGACAGUCCUAGGGAUUAGCCACUAACGACGCAUGGAUAUCCAUAUGCUUGCUAUUUUUUAUGAUCUGUAAUCUUUGGAUGUCCUUCAGCUUAUGAGGCAACAACAGCUGGCAUUACUAUGGGGAUUUAUACAUAGCUUGACAGGGGCGCCUGGGUGCUAUCUUUAUGUUGCCUUAAAGGCAAUUAGUUUUUGUGUGUGUGUGUGUGAGUUGAUGCCCUGGAGAGUUUUAUAUUUGAGAAGAAGGAUUAAUGGUUUUGCUGGUAACAAGGAACUGUUGUUGGGUCCUAAUAUUUUGGUUGCAAUUUAUAUGAAGGUAUUCUAUAAAUUCAAUUCAUAUCAAAGGGAAGUAGUUUGUAAUUGUUAUCAAGCUCUAUGCUUUAUGCAGUAUCAGAUGAUCCCUAAUGCAUUUUUUGUAAAUAAUACACACUCUCUCUCUAUGUUUCUAUCUAUCUAUAUAUGUAAUUGAAAAAGUGGUCAGUUUCUUGCUUGUAAACUAAAUGAUGCACAAUCUUCUUAUUAAUUACUUUAUAAGUUCAAUUGUU